UGAGGAAUAUUGGUCAAUGGGCGCAAGCCUGAACCAGCCAUCCCGCGUGCAGGAAGACGGCCCUAUGGGUUGUAAACUGCUUUUCCAGGAGACGAAUAGUCUUUACGUGUAAGGGCAUGACGGUACCCUGGGAAUAAGCAUCGGCUAACUCCGUGCCAGCAGCCGCGGUAAUACGGAGGAUGCAAGCGUUAUCCGGAUUCAUUGGGUUUAAAGGGUGCGUAGGCGGGCUAUUAUGUCAGUGGUGAAAUCCUGCAGCCUAACUGCAGAACUGCCGUUGAAACUGAUAGUCUUGAGUUUGGUUAAGGUAGGCGGAAUGUGUAAUGUAGCGGUGAAAUGCUUAGAUAUUACACAGAACACCGAUUGCGUAGGCAGCUUACUGAGCCGACACUGACGCUGAGGCACGAAAGCGUGGGGAUCGAACAG
Molecule: ribosomal RNA, 423 nt
Filed under: uncultured bacterium
Lineage: Bacteria
Description: bacterial SSU rRNA
Rfam family: Bacterial small subunit ribosomal RNA
Source: RNAcentral